This is a non-coding RNA of Microcebus murinus (gray mouse lemur), 651 nucleotides long. The record is from RefSeq and is a predicted model, not a curated record. NCBI's taxonomy places the organism in Eukaryota, Metazoa, Chordata, Mammalia, Primates, Cheirogaleidae.
GUAGGGCCCAGUUCAAGUGCCACUUGCUGUAUUGCCACUUGCCAAUUUCUGUGCAGGAGGGUAUAUGGGCUGCUAGCUAUUCGGGAGUACAGAAUCUCUGAGUGGUUCCUGUUACCAAGGUCAACUGACAAUGCAUCAAUCCCCUCAAGAGAAAAAAAAAUUAGUGGCUAAUAAAUGCAAAGGGCUGGUCUAGUACAGUGAGAAUCAAGAAUCUCCUCGGCUAGUCAGUAGCAGGGGACCCUGCCGCUACUGCAAGACCGGCGGUGGGCACUGGAGAAGGUGUCUGAGGCCACAAGCAAAGACCCAGAGGCUGAAGCAGCCCAAGGGAGCCGGGCUGAAGCUGAACGGCUGGCCUGCAGAGGGAGAAGGAGUUCAUGGCCAGGGCAGCUGCAGCACUGAAGCACAGAAGCAGACCCAGGAGGAGAGGACGGUCCUGCAGCCCAUUUCUAGCACAAGGAUGAAAUCUUGGAUAACCUCCUGGCCUUGGUCUGGAACAUCUGGCCAGAAAUCCAUGAAAACUACCACACAAAUGGAUACAAGAGGAGUCCCUUUUCCACGGGCUGCUAUUUUAGAUGCUUCAUGGAAUACGUAGCUUUAGCAAAGCCCCAGUUACAUUCUUAUGAAAAGCCAUUAAAUUAUUUCUGUGUAUUA